UCGAGAAUCUUCGGCAAUGGGCGAAAGCCUGACCGAGCGACGCCGCGUGCGGGAUGAAGGCCUUCGGGUUGUAAACCGCUGUCAGAGGGGAAGAAAGCUUACGCUUGACUGAUCCUCAGAGGAAGCACGGGCUAAGUUCGUGCCAGCAGCCGCGGUAACACGAACCGUGCGAACGUUAUUCGGAAUCACUGGGCUUAAAGGGUACGUAGGCGGUCUUGCAAGUGGGGUGUGAAAUCCCCCGGCUCAACCGGGGAACUGCGCUCCAAACUGCAAGACUUGAGGGAGACAGAGGUGAGCGGAACUGAUGGUGGAGCGGUGAAAUGCGUUGAGAUCAUCAGGAACACCAGAGGCGAAGGCGGCUCACUGGGUCUCUUCUGACGCUGAGGUACGAAAGCUAGGGUAGCGAACGGG
Molecule: ribosomal RNA, 411 nt
Filed under: uncultured bacterium
Lineage: Bacteria
Description: bacterial SSU rRNA
Rfam family: Bacterial small subunit ribosomal RNA
Source: RNAcentral